CGAGAAGGCCAAGGACAGCCAGGCGAUCCGCGCCGGUAAAGGUAAGGCUAGGAACCGGAGAUACGUAUCUCGUAAGGGACCAUUAGUUGUUUACGGUAAUGAAGGUGCUAAGCUGGUCAAGUCCUUCCGUAACAUUCCUGGUGUGGAGAUCGCCAAUGUGGAACGCCUCAACCUUUUGAAGCUGGCUCCCGGUGGGCAUUUGGGACGGGUUGUGAUCUGGACCAAGUCCGCUUUUGAGAAGCUUGACUCGAUCUAUGGAUCGUUUGAGAAGGCUUCGGAGAAGAAGAAUGGUUAUGUCUUGCCUAGGGCCAAGAUGGUGAAUGCUGACCUUGCCAGGAUCAUCAACUUUUUUUACUUCAAUAAGAAACUCUCUCCCUCUCCAUAUUUCUCUUGUUCUUGUCUUUCUUUGAGUUUAGUUUUAUAACAUAAAAUUUAAUGAUUCAACUGUUUGUAAUAUAAAUAAAAUAGAGACUCCAGUACAUCUUUGUAUCGUGUACCCUUGCCAUGUGUCAUCUUUUUAUUGGCCAGUGAAAUUAAAAUUUAAAAACUAUUGGAUCAACACCCAAUUUUAACGCAAAACACAAUUUUGGUCGAGUAAGAAAUCCAAAACUCUUUCAUUUUACUCGGUCCACCAGACCACCACCAUCCACUUAAAUACUUGUUUUCUUUGUAAUUUUUAAUAAAUAGAAGCAUGAAAUUCUCCAGCUAAAAUCAUGAAAUUUGUUAGACCAAAUUACGCCAAAGAACCGGCCAAUUCACAAAAUCGAUUAUGGUUAAUGAUUCAUGUUCUUAGAUGUCGACUAGGCAACCAACGAAGAAGGAAUUCAGAAUGGUGAUGGGCUAGGAACAAAAAAUUAAGGUGUACAAAACUCGGAUAGAUGGGGAAACCGAUUAUUACGAUUAGGGUUCUUCGAUUCUGAUAUUAUUCUCUUUCAAAUUUUGAGAGGAAGCGCUCAACAACUGGAGGGAGACCAUCCCGUCGUGAUUGCCGGAGAAAUUGGACCGCCGAACGUCUUCGGUGGGCUGCCGAAUGGAAGCGCGGAGUAUGAGCAACUAUGGUCGCCGACGGGUAGCUGCGACGAAGGAGUAUUGCUAAAGAAGAAGAUGAUGAAUAAGAUCUGAGUAUUGUUUGUAAAAGAUGGAGGUGGCAGAUGGAAGUUUAAGCAGGCUGAUUUCUCUUUUUCCAUAACCACAAUGUAAUUAAUCCUGUUUAUUUUAAAGUAUGUGGAUAUUGGAUAUUAUUUGACGUGUCAUGUUGUAAUUGACCAUUCAAAUUAAUUAUGUAAAUAGUAAUAAAACUAAAUUAUACCAAUCGAGCUAGGUCAGAGGUAAUUCGACCAAAAAGCGCAAGGGUCGAGAGCUUGCUCUAAUCGCCUCUGAAGCUCCCUCGAAGGAUGCGGCGGGGGGGUUAUUUUUUACAACAAAAAUUUACUCAUUUAUUAAUUAUAAAACUCGAAACCCAUUAUCAUUUAGAUUUAUAACUAACAUGCCGACACACAUCAAGAUUCAAGAUUAAUAAAUAAACCAUAUGAUAUAAUUUAUGAGCAUCAAAUCAAAUGUUUGGCACAACUAUACUACUCGGGCCUUAGGCCCGGACCAUAUAUCUAGUGGGGUUAGCCCAAUGAAGUAAGCCACCACACCAGUUAAGAAACCUAGCCGCCAAACACCUCCAUUUAUAAACCCAAAUCCCCUACUCCGCCUCCCAAAACCCUAGUAGCCAUUUGUAUUCAGCUCCACUCUUCCUUUACCCAGCUCGGCGAAAUGGCUGCAACCGCCGCUGCACGUCCCCUUGUCUCCAUCCAAACCCUUCCCGUCCUCAAUGAUAUGUCCACUGAUUCCCCUACCACCGUACACCUCCCCGACGUGAUGCGCUCCUCCAUCCGUCCCGACAUAGUCAACUUCGUCCACGCCCAGAUGUCGAACAACAGUCGCCAACCCUACGCCGUCUCCAAGAAGGCCGGUCACCAGACCUCCGCCGAGUCAUGGGGUACCGGCCGUGCCGUUUCGCGUAUCCCUCGUGUCUCCGGAGGAGGCACGCACAGAGCUGGCCAGGGAGCCUUCGGGAACAUGUGCCGUGGUGGACGCAUGUUCGCUCCCACCAAGAUCUGGCGCCGCUGGCACAGGAGGAUCAACGUCAACCAGAAGCGGUUCGCAGUUGUUUCCGCGAUCGCCGCGUCGGCCGUGCCUUCUCUGGUGAUGGCUCGCGGCCACCGGAUUGACACUGUUCCCGAAUUGCCCCUGGUGAUCAACGAUUCCGCGGAGGGUGUCGAGAAGACUUCCACCGCCAUCAAGGUGUUGAAGGAGAUCGGAGCUUAUGCCGACGCCGAGAAGGCCAAGGACAGCCAGGCGAUCCGCGCCGGGAAAGGUAAGGCUAGGAACCGUAGAUACGUAUCUCGUAAGGGACCAUUGGUUGUUUACGGUAAUGAAGGUGCUAAGCUGGUUAAGGCCUUCCGUAACAUUCCUGGUGUUGAGAUCGCCAAUGUGGAACGCCUCAACCUUUUGAAGCUGGCUCCUGGUGGUCAUUUGGGACGGUUUGUGAUCUGGACCAAGUCCGCUUUUGAGAAGCUUGACUCGAUCUAUGGAUCGUUUGAGAAGGCUUCGGAGAAGAAGAAUGGUUAUGUCUUGCCCAGGGCCAAGAUGGUGAAUGCUGACCUUGCCAGGAUCAUCAACUCCGAUGAGGUUCAGUCUGUGGUGAAGCCCGUCAACAAAGAAGUGAAGAGGGCGACGCUGAAGAAGAAUCCAUUGAAGAACUUGAACGUGAUGCUUAAGCUUAACCCGUAUGCUAAGACUGCUAGGAGAAUGUCAUUGUUGGCUGACGCCCAGCGCGUUAAAUCUAAGAAGGAGAAGCUUGACAGGAAGAGGACUCCCAUUAGCAAGGUAAAAUCAGAGCUUUCUCUCUUUGAUUACACUAUGUGCUGAACUGAUCUGUAAUUUGUUCGUUGGCUGAGUAAUUUUACCUCAAUUCUAUUGUUUGGAUAUAGCAAUGUGUUGCUCUCUAGUUUUGAUAUUACUGAAUAUAUAAGUAGUUGAUUUAGGGCAUAUAAUUCCCUGUUCUGGGUGUGGUUUAAUUUGAUCGUAUUCAUAGCCAUUGCGUUUUGGUUUGCGAAUGGUAGCUGUCCAGGUGAAUUGAAGUUGAAGCUAAGUGCUUUGAUACAUACCCAGUUGGUUUUCUUCUCUGUUAAUUGUGUGUUUUAUCCAAUAUGUACAAGAAUCAUGAACUUAGUUGCUGAAUGUGGGAACAUUGGGUUGUCUGUAUCGUCUGAUGAUUUGUUAAACUAACAUUCUUUAACAGCAUGAAAUUAUGGCUUCUUGCAUCUUCUUCUUGAAAAUGUACUUGUACUAAGAACUUUAUUGUUGGAUCAGGAGGAAGCAAGUGCAAUCAAGGCCGCUGGGAAGGCAUGGUACAAGAC
This 3410-nucleotide long non-coding RNA is filed under the name Linum usitatissimum (flax). RNAcentral describes it as "long non-coding RNA (LUSI_LNC007198)". Lineage: Eukaryota; Viridiplantae; Streptophyta; Magnoliopsida; Malpighiales; Linaceae. The record is from RNAcentral.